CGGGAUGUAGCGCAGUCUGGUCCAGCGCGCCUCGUUUGGGACGAGGAGAUCCGGGGUUCGAAUCCCUGCAUCCCGA
RNAcentral lists this transfer RNA (76 nucleotides) under Euzebya pacifica. It matches the Rfam family "tRNA". From Rfam's summary of the family: Transfer RNA (tRNA) molecules are approximately 80 nucleotides in length. Lineage: Bacteria; Bacillati; Actinomycetota; Nitriliruptoria; Euzebyales; Euzebyaceae. The record is from Rfam by way of RNAcentral.